GAUGAACGCUGGCGGCGUGCUUAACACAUGCAAGUCGAACGGAAAGGCUCCUGCUUGCAGGGGUACUCGAGUGGCGAACGGGUGAGUAACACGUGGGUGAUCUGCCCUGCACUUCGGGAUAAGCCUGGGAAACUGGGUCUAAUACCGGAUAGGACGAUGGUUUGGAUGCCAUUGUGGAAAGUUUUUCGGUGUGGGAUGAGCUCGCGGCCUAUCAGCUUGUUGGUGGGGUAAUGGCCUACCAAGGCGUCGACGGGUAGCCGGCCUGAGAGGGUGUACGGCCACAUUGGGACUGAGAUACGGCCCAGACUCCUACGGGAGGCAGCAGUGGGGAAUAUUGCACAAUGGGCGCAAGCCUGAUGCAGCGACGCCGCGUGGGGGAUGACGGCCUUCGGGUUGUAAACUCCUUUCGCUAGGGACGAAGCGCAAGUGACGGUACCUGGAGAAGAAGCACCGGCUAACUACGCG
This 465-nucleotide ribosomal RNA is filed under the name uncultured bacterium. Its description in RNAcentral is "partial 16S ribosomal RNA". It matches the Rfam family "Bacterial small subunit ribosomal RNA", at positions 28 to 507 of the family's 1533-position model. The record is from RNAcentral.